This is a long non-coding RNA of Gavialis gangeticus (Gharial), 2574 nucleotides long. RefSeq lists it as uncharacterized. The transcript is spliced from 3 exons. The record is from RefSeq and is a predicted model, not a curated record. Lineage: Eukaryota; Metazoa; Chordata; Crocodylia; Gavialidae.
GGGUCUGCACCUCCACUCAAUUUUUUUUAGGGAUCUACAAAUGAAAAAAGAUUGAAAAUCACUGCUUUAGAGUACUUGGGUAGCAAAAUGUGUCAGAAUGUAGCCAUUGAUCCUGGACAAUACUCAUGUACUGUGAGUUUAGUCCCUGUCCCUUACAGCUUUCUGGAAAUGUCUAUUGUACAGAGGAUCUUUUAAAUGUUUUGCCAUAAGAAGAAAGCAUUUUGAUUAAAUGUUAUUUCAAAGUAGUCUAAAAUCCACAGGUAUAUUCAGAUUUUGCCACAGAGGUAUUGUCAAGGAAAGUGCCAACAAUUUAAAUGGAGGAAAGAUAAAAGUGGCAGCUUCAGAAUGUGAUUAUGCUAUAGGUUCCUCGUGUGUUUUUUGAAUAAUGGGACUGAGAGUGAUCAAAGAAAAGCAAGUAGCUUCAACUUGUAUCAGAGUCCACAUGAUCAAAAGGGUUGUGUCAGAUAAGUGCACCUAUAUUAAACCAGUCUUCUAAUGCUGGUUAAUGUGGCAACACAAUAUUUUCAUCAGUCAAAACAGGUUUAUCAUUAGAUAAAAACAUAGAAAACAAUAGUUCUAAAAUACUGACUAAGGACUGCUUUCUAAAAUAUUUCAUUCAAUCUACAUAACUAGGGGUUCACACCAGUGUCACCCCUGAAAGUUCUGUAGCAUCUUGGGUUACAAUGGAAAUGUCAAAUACUAGAAAAAAAAUUAGUCUCAAUCACACUAAACCUCAAAUAACAUCCCCUCCAAAUGCUACAGAAAAAUUAAAUGUUGCACAAAACAAAACACAACACAACAAAAAAGUUUAAAAAUCACUGAUUUUUUUUUUUUUUUCUCCAUAUUAAAAGGGAAAUCCUGGAGUAAUUUUAUCUGUGAUGGGGUGGCAUUACCACUUCACCACAGUAAAGCCAGCAAUGGAAAGCACAAAUUGAUCCUUAAGAAGCAAGGAGAAUUCAAAGUACAUGCAGAUGAAUGAAAGAACACUGUUGUGUUCAUCCAAAUGCACCCAAACAAGGUGACUCGGUAAGAGUGCUGCUAUGCUGGCUAGCACUGAAUAUAUUUUGAACGUGAAGUACACCUAAGAAUUAGUUGCCAUCCACAGAUUCAACAGACAAAAAGGCUAAAAUGUCUAUGUGCACAUUCACAUAUCUCAUAAACACCAUUCUGUGGGGGACAGCACAAUACGUAAAAUAGCACGUAUUCAGCAUUCCUUUCAUAUCUUUUGAUGAAGUGGGCUUGGGCUCUUAAAGCUUAUGUUAUACAUCUCUUGAUUUAGUCAGUCUGUAAGGCACAAAUCUACCCUGUCUUCUACAUAUUAGGGAGGUCAUGGCUGAAACAUCCUUUUGUUGUUUUCUCCAGUAGCUCUUGCCUGGAAGCAGAGUUAAGUGCGCGGUAUGAAGCUGGCUUCCUAACUGCUUAUUUCAUGGUUUUUAGACAUUUAUAAUAAAAUGUAGGUGUAUGCUGCACUGUGGACAGGGAUGUGAGGCUCCUGGUCACUCUUAAUUCUGCUUUUAACAACGUUUUUGAGCAGUGAAAAUGAGCCAAAUUGAUCUGUAGUAUGAAUCCAUUGACUUCAAAGAAUGCAUUUUUUCCCAGUACGCGGAGGGCCUGAUUUUCCUCCAAAUUUCACCUUGUCUUGUUUCUGCGUGCGCACGCGCAUGUGUAAAAUGUUACCAUUACUGUGAAUGGGGAAUUUUGAUUAUUUACUUUGCUUUGAGCAGAUGUAGACGGGUAGAAAGUAUCAGAAUCCGGCCCACUCUGUUUACAUGGGCUGACUGCUAAGUAGAGCCCAGUGCACGUUAUAUUUAUACAUCUUGUACUUAGCUCACCCUAGUGCAAGUAAGGGGGAAUGCAUUUAAGAUCUCCCUGCACCUGUGGAGGCAGCUGUGCUAGCAGUUUUCUUUCCUGUAUGGAGAGAGCAGAUGGCAGUAUUGGAAUACCAUCAGAAAAGGCAAACUACAGUUUAUAGCUUGGGUUCCAUAUGAGUCCUAUUAGCAGAAGGUGUUCACCCCAGCCAGCCCUUCCCACUUUUGGCCAGCAUUGAUGGAGUGAAACUUGUGUUCUUAUUUUUUCCUACCAUCUCUACCAUAGGGCUGUCCCACAGCAUAGAUUCUGAUAGUGGUUACAACUGUCUCAGCCCAUCUGGCACAUGGACUUUCUACCAGAGGAGGCCCAUGUCCACUGGAUUCUCCAGUUGAUUCCUGGAAGAAGCAAGGAUAUGAAUGAAGCUCUUUAUCUGAAAGACUUUGGGAGAAGUUAACAAGUUUGGAGAGAAGUCUGAAAUCUUUUCUCAUAACUGGAAUGGCUGAGAAUCUCAGUUCUUCUGGGAAGCUCAUAUGUGGAUAUCAAUAAAGGAUUGAAAAUAUGUUAAGAACAUUUUGAUGCUACACAAGUUGGGCACACAAGGAAGGAGCAUGAUCUAAGGAUAAAGCAAAACAGAAAAUACAUUGAUUGGUUCUAAUCCCAGCACUGCCUAGAUUGCUUUGUGACCAAGGGAAACUCCUGUAACCUUUCUGUAACUCAGUGUUAAAAAAUAUAAAAUAGGAAUAAAAUUAGAGUAAUGCUUAUCUA